RNAcentral lists this ribosomal RNA (333 nucleotides) under Eriauchenus sp. 10 HMW-2014. RNAcentral's name for it is "bacterial SSU rRNA". It matches the Rfam family "Eukaryotic small subunit ribosomal RNA", at positions 1461 to 1804 of the family's 1831-position model. The record is from RNAcentral. Lineage: Eukaryota; Metazoa; Arthropoda; Arachnida; Araneae; Archaeidae.
UCUGUGAUGCCCCAAGAUGUCCGGGGCCGCACGCGCGCCACAAUGACGCCCGCAACGAGCGCGACAGCCCGGUCGGAGAGGACCGGGGAACCAUGUGAAAGCGCGUCGUGGCGGGGACAGGGGAUUGCAAUUGUUCCCCUCGAACGAGGAAUUCCAAGUAACGGCGAGUCACCAGCUCGCCCUGAUUACGUCCCUGCCCUUUGUACACACCGCCCGUCGUUACUGCUAAUAGAGCACAGAGGUGAGGCCGUUGGACCGGACGCCCAGACCGGGAACCGGAAAGGCGGUCGAACCCUUUCGCUUAGAAGGAGUACAAGUCGUAACAAGGUUAUC